RNAcentral lists this ribosomal RNA (576 nucleotides) under Triticum aestivum (bread wheat). RNAcentral describes it as "partial small subunit ribosomal RNA". Lineage: Eukaryota; Viridiplantae; Streptophyta; Magnoliopsida; Poales; Poaceae. The record is from RNAcentral.
CUUGCAGAGGAGAUUUUGCGGGAGAUCCUGCUAAGUCUGCCGACCAGAGACGCCGCCCGCUGCUGCUGCGUGUCGAGGCUCUGGUGCGGCGUCGUCACUGACCCCACCUUCCGCGCCCUUCACGCUAGGGCCUGGCAUGUCGUCGCCGGCGCCGGCGCGGAGGCCCUGCUCCUUUCCGAGAUCCGCAACCCUGGUAAAAGCCUCGAGGUGAGAGUAUACAACAUCAAUUCGCCUAAGCCCAUGUGCCGCGUCGUCGACCUGGCCGGGGGAUACAAACCUGCCAAUGCCUGCAUCGGCUUCCUCCUCCUCGCAUCUGGCGUCAAAAAUUGGCCCGUGUUCGUGUGCAACCCAGUCACCGGUAAAAAGCUGGAGGUCCCACCACCGAAGAUCAAUUUCAUGGACUGGCGCAUGUACGCCAUGGGGUUCAGCCCGGCCGCCCAUGAGUACAAGCUGUUCCGGUUUUCCUUCCCGUUUGGGUCCGAGGAGGACAACAACCACCUAGACGUGUACACCUUAGGCGAUGGCCGUGGGUGGCGCCGGCACCCGAUCCCGUUACCCUAUGCCGUGGUCUACGAU